Molecule: ribosomal RNA, 497 nt
Filed under: uncultured bacterium
Lineage: Bacteria
Description: partial 16S ribosomal RNA
Rfam family: Bacterial small subunit ribosomal RNA
Source: RNAcentral
GAUGAACGCUGGCGGCGUGCCUAAUACAUGCAAGUCGAGCGAACGGACGAGAAGCUUGCUUCUCUGAUGUUAGCGGCGGACGGGUGAGUAACACGUGGAUAACCUACCUAUAAGACUGGGAUAACUUCGGGAAACCGGAGCUACUACCGGAUAAUAUUUUGAACCGCAUGGUUCAAAAGUGAAAGACGGUCUUGCUGUCACUUAUAGAUGGAUCCGCGCUGCAUUAGCUAGUUGGUAAGGUAACGGCUUACCAAGGCAACGAUGCAUAGCCGACCUGAGAGGGUGAUCGGCCACACUGGAACUGGGACACGGUCCAGACGCCUACGGGAGGCAGCAGUAGGGAAUCUUCCGCAAUGGGCGAAAGCCUGACGGAGCAACGCCGCGUGAGUGGUGAAGGUCUUCGGAUCGUAAAACUCUGUUAUUAGGGAAGAACAUAUGUGUAAGUAACUGUGCACAUCUUGACGGUACCUAAUCAGAAAGCCACGGCUAACUACGUG